CUGCGGAGGGAUCAUUACAAGAACGCCCGGGCUACGGCCUGGUUAUUCAUAACCCUUUGUUGUCCGACUCUGUUGCCUCCGGGGCGACCCUGCCUUCGGGCGGGGGCUCCGGGUGGACACUUCAAACUCUUGCGUAACUUUGCAGUCUGAGUAAACUUAAUUAAUAAAUUAAAACUUUUAACAACGGAUCUCUUGGUUCUGGCAUCGAUGAAGAACGCAGCGAAAUGCGAUAAGUAAUGUGAAUUGCAGAAUUCAGUGAAUCAUCGAAUCUUUGAACGCACAUUGCGCCCCCUGGUAUUCCGGGGGGCAUGCCUGUUCGAGCGUCAUUUCACCACUCAAGCCUCGCUUGGUAUUGGGCAACGCGGUCCGCCGCGUGCCUCAAAUCGUCCGGCUGGGUCUUCUGUCCCCUAAGCGUUGUGGAAACUAUUCGCUAAAGGGUGUUCGGGAGGCUACGCCGUAAAACAACCCCAUUUCUAAGGUUGACCUCGGAUCAGGUAGGGAUACCCGCUGAACUUAAGCAUAUCAAUAAGCGGAGGAAAAGAAACCAACAGGGAUUGCUCUAGUAACGGCGAGUGAAGCAGCAAUAGCUCAAUUUGAAAUCUGGCGUCUUCGACGUCCGAGUUGUAAUUUGUAGAGGAUGCUUCUGAGUGGCCACCGACCUAAGUUCCUUGGAACAGGACGUCAUAGAGGGUGAGAAUCCCGUAUGCGGUCGGAAAGGCGCUCUAUACGUAGCUCCU
RNAcentral lists this ribosomal RNA (737 nucleotides) under fungal sp. RNAcentral's name for it is "eukaryotic LSU rRNA". The stretch from base 481 to 737 matches the Rfam family "Eukaryotic large subunit ribosomal RNA", at positions 1 to 256 of the family's 3401-position model. The record is from RNAcentral. Lineage: Eukaryota; Fungi.